RNAcentral lists this long non-coding RNA (11982 nucleotides) under Olea europaea subsp. europaea. The record is from RNAcentral. Lineage: Eukaryota; Viridiplantae; Streptophyta; Magnoliopsida; Lamiales; Oleaceae.
CCUCUCCACGUCAUGCCUAUGCCUCUUGCUUCAAGGACCAUGCUUCUUUACUGCCUUUGAAACCGUGACAAAUUACACACAAAUUCUUACUCUUCUCCGACUUUCCCUUUUCAUUUCCUCUCUAUAUUUUCCUCUCUACAGUUGACCAAUGCCAUCGAUCUGCUCAUUUCUUCUCUCUGAUUUUCCUUUUUCAUUUUCUUUAUCUGCAAUCGACGAAAACCCUCGGUUAUUUGACGCUGGUUUCUUGGAAUCGAAUCAUAUCAGGUAGUUUAAUCGAGGGUAUGUUGGUUCGAUUUUACUGUGUGGUUCCAAUUUUGCAAGAUCUUCUCAUUUUUUUUCGCUGCUUUCUUUGCUCGGAGGUUCUAACCCUCUAUUUUUUUUUCUUUUACAGGAGUUUGAAAUUUUCAUUGUAGAUCAACCGAAAGAAUUGUUGAGAAAAAUUCCUUGCACAAGUAAUUGUAGAUCUUUGCUGUAGAUAGAAGGUAUGUUUGUUCAAUUUCACUGUGUGGUUCCAGGUUCGAAAGAAUUUUUUUUUUUUACUGCGUGGUUCGCUUUUUCCUCCCUAAAAUUUGAAGCUAAAUUUAUUUUCGGUUUGUCUAAUGUGGAUCUCGCUUAGUGCAUGUGUGAUUUGGUUGCCUUUCUUUGUCUGUCGUGUCUCACAUAUCACUUUCGACCGCUUGGUUGUGGAAGCUCUCUUGAAAUAUUUUCAAAUCAGUAAUUUUCAGGUUUAGUUCAAAGCACAUUUCUCAAUCAAUAACCAGUCCAAUCGGCUCCAAACCACACCCAAUUGAUUCACCUCGGUUGCUAUUCAAUCUUAUCCACGGAGGACAAGAACUGAUGAUGAUUUGUGGCCACAAAAGCUAGGAGAAGAGACCACAAAGAUAUACUAUGAAAGAACCACCAAUUGCACACGUUAUACAAGCGUUCUGGACACUUCUGAAGACCUUUUUUCUCACAUAAAGUGGGGCAGCCGGGAUUCACUUUUUUUUUCUCUCAAAAUCACACAAUACAUCAUAAGAAAGUGGCUAAGGUUAUAACCAUAUAUAUACUCUAAGGUUAAACUUUAAGUUGGACCACUAAAGGGGUAAACGGGCUAAAAUUCAAGCCAUCAAUAAAGGAAUACACUUGGGCCGGAUGUAGCUCAUGAACUUGGUUGUUGGACUUAUUUCAUUCAUUGAUCUAUGCCUAUGAAAUAAUAUUAACUCACGUUAACAUCAUAGCCGGGGAUUUAUUGGGUAUCAAAAACCCAACAAAUCUCCACCUUGAUUUAUUAUCAAAAUACACAGUUAAGACUUGCAUAAUCAAGGUAGCCAAUAAAAUUGGAUCAUAGACGUUGCCACGUGUUUCCAACUUGAAACACAUACCAUAUCUGCUCCAUGUACUUACUGGGGUUAAAGUUAAAAACACCCAAAUAGAAACAAAUAUUUAACAGUAAACAAUCAAGAGCAAAUAGACGUGCGAUGACGAUAUAAUAUAGGAUAACACAUACAGAUAUUUUCAGAAAUCGUUCACAUAGAACCAUAGAUUAACACCUAGUCAAUCAAACCACGGUCAACCACAUAUGCAACACAUACAUAAAUGACCCUAAGAAAAGAUCUCACCACACUUAUUAUAUCCUAUUCCUUGUUGCUCACACCUCGAGAACACAUAUCUCUUCUCAUCGCCCACCAAGCUCACUAGACAGAUCACUCAACUCAUGUCUAAUUGACAAGUCACAAUAGAUCCUAAGUCUACGAGAUAAUCCUCUAUCUCCACAUCACUUCUUCCAACCUAUGUGGAUAAUGGGUCUCCACCUAACAGAAGUGAUAGAAGUGUCUCUCUCACACUCCACCUGAUUAGGGUCUCUUUCCUGAUAAAUGAUUCUAGACAUUUGAUCACAUCUCCACUCGUGAUCCAAAUGUCACACUCCACAUCCUCGGUACAAACCAUCAUGUACCCCUAAGCAUCUAUACUCCACCUUACCAAAAAACUCACAACACACUGCUAAUGCAUCCUAACCCACUAUACAUGCAAUCAAUUACACCAAGUAAUCCUAAUGUCUCAAAUUCAUGCAAAUACACAUAUCAAACGCAUUGAAAUGUAGCAGAAAAUCAUGCACCAAAAUUUAGACAAUCACACACAUGCAGAAAAUGAUCACACACAGAUGCAUAUGUAGUAACUAGGUUUACACUUAAUAAACGGGUCAUAACUUGACCCCUCAGCUUAUCUUUCUUCUAGGGACAGUUCCUAAUAAAGUGUCCAGACUUACCACAACUGUAAUACCUUUUAUCACUAGACUUGUCUCGUCCCUUGCCCUUUUUCUUACUACCCUCAUCACUCGAGUCACUACUCGAAUCACUACCGUCUUGAGUUCUACCCAAAUUCAUCAGCUUAAACUUCAUUCUACUCAUCAUAUUUAACUCACCAUUCCUCUUAUCCUCUUUUUCAGCCUUAAUCUCCAUCUUCUUACUUCUAAGUGGGUCAAUGAAAAUCUCAGGUGUUAAGGUGUCCCUACUGUACUUAAUUGCAUUCUUAACUUCCCUAUAUGAAUCAGGCAUGAAAUUAAGCAGGAUAGUAGCCUUAUACGUAUCGGGUACCUCUUCAUCACAAUUAACGAUGUCUUGAACUAACUUGUUAAAGACAUCCAGAUUAUCAUCAAGAUUCUUUGAAGGAUCCAUUUUAAAGCUGAAAAAUCGUUCAAGCAAUUAUAAUUUAUUAGGAGUUGACUUAAGCAAAUAUAAGUCCUCCAACUUUUCCCAAAGUUGUUUUGUAGAAUCCAGUUUUCCUACUUUUCUCAAAACAGUAUGAGAUAGGUGUAAAAUAAUUGAAGUGUAUGCAAGUUCAUCAUACUCUUCUUUUUGUACUUCUGCUAAAUUUACAGGAAAUUUGCCAUCUAUGGCCUUUGAAACUUUUUAUUUGACCAAAAUACCCUUCAUCUUUUGUUGCCAAAUUGAAAAAUCCCCUUUCCCAUUAAAAAUUCCAACUUCCAAGUGUGAAGACAUUUUUAAGGAGAAAAUAAAAACAGAACAACCAAGUCACAAAUAGGUCACACAAAGUAAUUCUAAGGUCGCAAUAUACGACGUUCUAGAUUUUCAGGGUUUCGUAAGAUUCAGGAUCUUAGAUCAAGGAAAUGUUCGAAAGGAUCAAGUCCAGGUGUUCUAAUUGGAUAAUUAAUACAAACACGAAAGUAUAUAAAUAAAAAUUUCAAAUUUUCAUGCAACAAGUCUCACACAGUGACUAUAUGACAGCUAAGCACAAAAUCAACUACUAACUCGCAAUCAAAGUUCAACACUUCAAAAUAGAGCAAAUAAUUCCUAAACUUUCUAGCACAAACAAUGGUUGCCAAGCAAUGACAACCCCCAAUCCUAACUAUCACCCCACACGAUGAUCUGCUAAUGCUGAAAUUUAAACUGAAUUAAGCUAAUAUACCAGAGCGGACCUAUCUGAGUCCGUAAAUUAUGAGAAUUAAAAUUUAUCACUUUAGAACCACCACUAUUCGUCCUAAAGUCUCUAGAAACUACAGCAACCAAAAAUCACGAUCAAGUCCCGAACAUCCAAAGAACAACGCUGUCCAGAUUCUAUCGCGUACCCUGAAACAGAAAACUUUCAACAUGAAAAAUGUCAGAAAUAAUAUGACGAACAAACUGCCUGAAGGGACCUCCUCGAAAUUCCACUCCACGCACGUCCAUCGACCGACAUGCGCCGCCCUGUAGGGUUCGCCUCUACUUGCACUUCACGCCAGUGGUCUCCGUUUCCCCAAACUCCUUCUGGAUUGAUCAGAAAAUGCGAAAAACGGAGACUGAUUUUGACAGUUUUUGGACAGCUUCUUCGAUCUGAUUUCUGCUGCGAUUUCUGGACUUUUUUGGUAUGUUUCACAAGCCAAAACCACCACCUUAAAACUCUGAUACCAAUUAUUACGGAAGCUCUCUUGAAAGAUCUUCAAAUCAGUGAUUUUCGGGCUCAGUCCAACGCACAUUUCUCAACCAACAACCAGUCCACUCAGCUCCAAACCACAACCAAUUGAUUCACCUCCGUUGCUAUUCAAUCUUACCUAUGUAGGAUAAGAAAUGAUAAUGAUUUGUGGCCAAAAAGGCUAGGAGAAGAUACCUCAAAGGUAUACUAUGAAGGAACCACCAAUUGCACACGUUAUACAAGCGUUCUAGACACUUCUGGAGACCUUUUUUCUCACACAAAGGGAGGCAGUUGGGAUUCACUUUUUCUUCUCUCAAAAUCACACAAUACAUCAUAAGAAAGUGGCUGGGUUGUAGCCAUAUACUACUAUAGGGUUAGGCUUUAAGUUGGACCAUUAAAGGGGUAAACGAGUCAAGAUUCAAGUCAUCCGUAAGGGAAUACGCUUGGGCCGGGUGUAGCUCAUAGAUUUGGUUGUUGGACUUAUUUCAUUCAUCGGCCUAUGCCUAUGAAAUAAUAUUAAUCCACGUUAAUAUCAUAGCCCGGGAUUUAUUGGGUAUCAAAAACCCAACACGCUUCAAUGGCAUCCUUAUAGAUUUCGUUGAGCUCCGGACAGACGUCCCCCGAACACCCCAUAGCAUUAGGUUUCAUCAUUUUGUAUGUUUUCCCUUUUUCUUUUCCUAUAUUCAGAGGUUGGGGUUUUGGUUAAAUCUGGAAUGCAUUGUAUUUCUGUGGAAUUCAGAGUUGUAGUUAUUAAUUGAUUUACUUUAGAAACAAACUUUGUUUUUCAUUUAUAAAAUGUGGAAUUGGCUUUACGCAUGUGCAAUUUGGUUAAGUUCCUUUGUCAUCCAUGUCUCAUAUUCCACCUUCGAGUGCUUCAAUGGCAUCCUUAUACUUUUGGUCGAGUUGCAGACAAACAUCCCCGAACACCCGCCUACAAUUAGGCUUCACUAUUUCUCUAUGUUUUCCUCUUUCUUCUGUUAUUCAGAGGUUUGGUUUGUAUUUUCCUGGAAUUCAGAGUUACAAUUGUUAUUGAUUGAUCUCAUUAUAAUAAAGGAAAAGGGGGAAAAUAUUGAUUCAUUGAUAGCAUGUGAAAAUAUGUUGAGGUCUCAGUAUGUUUAUAACCUUGCAUAAAUAGUAUAUUAACUCUAAAGGGAAACCCAUAAACUGAAAAUAACGAUUUUAUUAUUAUUAUUAUUAUUUUGUUUCUUACAAUUUCCUGGUAUUAAAUUUAGUAGUUACAUACAUUUAUUUACCUCAUAUUUAAAGUAACAAGUAUAUGUAUAGAUAAAAUUGUGUUAGAAAGGAAUAUAUAUAAAAGUUGACUCAUUUCUCUUUUUGUUUCUUUAAUUUCUGCAGAUAAUGGUUCUUGUUUCUUGUAACACGUGUGUGUGUGUGUAUGACAUUAGUGGAACACUUUUUGUGCAUUCUAAACUCAGGUAGAAAAACUAUUGAUAGUUUGAGAAAAUGAGAAGAUAAGGAGCACUGUGGGGUUUAGAAUUGAUAUAAUAUUAAAUAAUUACAUAGGUCUCAUUUCAACCACACGAACUUGACAUAAUCAUUCAAAACAAAAUUUUCAUGAACCCAAUUUAUAUAAAUUCACGUGAUCUGCAAAGUGAGACCCAUAUUCCUAUGUUUCUAUCAAUGUCGACUCUACUCAAUUAUUUAGUACACAUAUUACUUAGAAAAAUAAAACCCUGGGAGCUUAAUUUAUGAAAAAAAUCAUGUCCUUUUUUCUUAGGUAAGUAAGCUGCGGGUCAACAGUACUGGUGGGUUUUGAGUCACUUGCCCCACUGUCAUCAGGUCACCAACUUCCCAUUUUAUGACAACUUUCAAUUUCCCCUUUAUUUUUUCCUAUCUCCUAUUAUUUAUCCCGCAAAUGAGGGAGUCUAAUUAGUAAUUAUAUUUUUCUCAAGAUCUCUAAAAAAGAUUUCGACCCAAUGCUUUAUUUCUGUCCUAGUUGAUUCUGAUUCGUACAUUAGAAGUAUAUUGAUUUUUUCCCAAUAGCUGAGAUUGCUUUGGUGGUGGGUCCGACAUUUAGCUGACAUCUACCAUCGACACAUGACACUUGUCGAGUUAAUUAGGUUGAAUCGGGAUGGAUCAUGUCAAUUGCUCCAUUGCAUAAUUAGAACAUAAAUAUUUUUUUUUAAAUUACAACUUUGAACAAAGUCAAAGCAGUGAGCAAAACAACAUCAAUGGGAGAUAGCGUGGAAAUAUAAAAAAUGACCGACACAAGACAAAGAAAUCCCUGCAAGAAUGCAGUUUCAUGGUGUUUAAGAGAAUAAAGAGAGUAAAAUUUGUACAAAAAUAUAUGGCAUCAGCAUUAGGUAAUAUUUUAAUUUCUACUUUUUGGAAAAUUGGUUAUAGAUUUUUUUUUAAAUAAUUAAUCUACAAAUGAAUUGACUUUCUAUUGUAAAUUUGUUUACUAAUUUCUUUAGAGUUCCUUGUGCAGUGAUUCUUUUAAAUACUUAUUUGUUGUUUCUGUAGUAUAAAUAUUAUGUCGAGUAGCAGUGAGCCACCGCAUCGUUUCGCUCACCUUAUCACACCUUCCUUGGCCCAUAAUGCUCGUAUGUUAAGUGUCAAAAUGAUCUCUUUGUCAAUAUUUAUUGAUAAUAAAUAGGACUAUAUAUAAAGUAAAUAAUAUUUUCACUGGAUUUAUGUUCUUCUUUCUAUAGUUGCUUCCUAAAUCUUUUGUGCGUUGCUUUGGACGUGAGCUCAGCGAUACAGUAUGUCAAAUUGGUUAUGAUGGAAUAGUUUGUAUCAUACAAUUGAAAAGAGUCGAUGGUAAUAUAUAUCUUGGUACUAGAUGGCCAGAAUUCUUCGACCAUCAUAAUUUACAAGAUGGUUUUCUUAUCGCCUUUGAAUACAAUGAAAAUUCUACUUUUGAUGUUUCGAUAUUUGACCAUUCGGCAUGGAAGUAAUGUAUGAGUCUGUUACAUUUGACAUAGAGAUUUCACGUAUUGGUAAUCCUAUCUUCCGAUACUACAUUGGAAGCUAAUCGCGAUGGUCAUAGAACAAUUGCGAGCUUCUCUUUAACUUAAAUGUUUUCCAGACUACAUACAACAUUGUCAUAUCUAUCGUUAUCGCUUAAUUCUAAGUUCUACCAUUCAUGGAUUUAUUAAUUUACUUUGUAGUAUGUACCUGGGACAUUCGCUAGAGUGUAUCUACCAUUGUUUGUCUAGAAUGUUCAAAUCCAGAAUUGUUCACAUUGUAAUUGGUUUGUACGUACAAAUCUGAGAACAAAUGGAUAUGUGCGAUGAUUUUCUAUAGGUUGGGCAGACUAUGUUAACGAGAAAUGACUUCGAAUGGGUGACACAUGUGCCUUUAAACUUAUAAACGAUGAAGUCCCCAUGUUCAUGGUGUACAAAGUGUGCCGCGAUGAUAGAAGUUAGACCCUUACAUGAAUUGUACACUUUCAUUUGUAGCUUCCGUGUUUACUUAUUAGCGAACAUUUAUUUUCCUCUUUAUGUAUGAACACUUUAUAACUAAAUCCAUUGGAAUUCGAAUUUCUAAUUUGCCUAUUUUAUUUUUACUUCAAGUUUCCACUAAAUUCGUGGUUUUUGACUCAUUUUAAUAAAAAUCAGUACAGAAUUAGUUUGUGCUAGUUUGUGCCUAUCAGUAACGUACAUAAUGAAAUCCUACAUUUCGAGUUCAUAGCUUCCGUGUAUCAUCAUUGUUCAAAAGCUAGCAUCCAUGUCGCUAAAAUUAUUCUUGGUAUGUAAAUAUUUUAAAUGCUUCUAGAACAUUCUUUAUUAUAAAUUUUAAUUCUUGAUUAAUGUCUUCGGAGCAGCCUAAACAAUAUAUUCUGAGUCUAUAUGAAGAAUAUUUUGCCCUAACUCAAAAUUUUCAGGUUUCCUUUCGCGUUCGUACAUUUAACUUUUAGGACUAUAUCUUCUUGCUCCUAAAGAGGUUUAUUCUCGCUUAAUCUUUGCUCUAUUAUGUAAUUAUUCUUCUCUAUACUUCUAUUUAAGUUGCGGUUUUAUUUUUACACUUCCAUUUAGUUAAUCAGGCCACACAUUUUUUCUAUAGGUAUAUAUCUAAAGAGUAAAAAAGUAACAAUAAUGCUUGAGCAUCUUCCAAAGCAUUUAUCACUAAAUUUAGAAAGAAGUCUCCCGAAAAGUUUACCAUAAUUUAAAAGAGCAAUCAAAUAUGUUCAUAACAAACUCUUCUGUUGUUUGUAGCUAUAAAAUGAACAUUAUAGAGCUCAAACAAAUAAUCAAUUUUCUGUCAAUGUAUUUGAUUAUUCUUCUAAAUUAUGUUAUUCUUUCGUGAGAAUUCUUUCUAAACUUAGUGAUGAUUACUUUGGAAGAGGAUUAAACUUUAUGUUCCAGUUUGAUUUUAUAUUGAGAGGUGAUUUCUAAACUAACAUUUAUUACAUUACGUUAUUUUUCUAAAUUUAUAAUUCUUAAAUUUCAGUUUUACUUACAGACACUUCACACCACUCUUUUACACAUAUAAUACUCAUCUUUUUCUCUCUUUCAGGAAAAAGUAAUGAUGUGAGAAUGUGGAUCGAAGGUCUAGAGAUAUGUUUUGGUGUCACCCAGUAAACAAAUUUUCUCCAUUUUCCAUUUUUUUAAAUAUAGUGCCAUUGGUCUACCAAAUCCUAUGCACGAAAAUGAUGAAAAAAUAGGCAUGGCUGUCCUUUGCCAAUUUAUUUCGAAGUUUAGUUGUUAACAGAUUUAAUGUCUUAGAUCGUUCUUAAAAAGCAUUCAAUGGAGUUGCAUGAUCCCUACAAUCUUAAAAUAGAGAAUUUGUUGCCACUAUUCAUAAGGCGUCAUAUCUGACACAAUGCUGAUGUCAUAUAUUUUCUACCAAUUUUAUCCCCCAUCUUUUCUCUAACAACACGUCAUUGCAUUUUCAUAUGAUUUCUUUCUCUUCUCUCAGUCAAUCUUCAUUUAUCCACGCUUCUUCCCAUACCUCUUCCCAGACAAUCAUUUGUACUGUGCAAAUCUUCUCUUUACUUCUUUUCUCUUUUCUAUUUCUUUCUCCCACGAUUUUUUGUUUAAUUUCACCAAAUUUUUUCAUUAUUCUUUUGCUCGAAUGCUAAGCGUGGAAGACCUCUCGAGAAUACUUUCAUUUGUUAGCAACUAAAGGGAAGUAAUCCGAAUCUUUAAUGUCUGGUGGUGAAAUGAAAGAUUGGUUCCCAUUUCUUGGAAGCUUCAAAACGUCGUCUUUGUAAGUCUAGGUUUUUGGAUUUACCAUUGCACUCCCCGCCUGCCUAUAUUUUUUGACAACUCGAGCUAAUUUUCCUUUUCAAAUGAGAAUAGAAAGUUCUGGUUUUCUAUUUGGAUUCUAAUUAUAUAUACUUUCUGAUUGAUUGAUCAUGGUAUUUAAAUAAAUGUUUUAAAUUUCAUGCUCAAUCGAGGAUGAUUCCUUGGCCUUUGCGGUUUGAUAUUUCCAAUUUUAGCGUCUUAGUCUAGAAUAUUUUAUGUAAUUGUUUUAUCUUUCAGGAUACUAUUGUUGAAAUUUCGUUUUUAGCAUAAAAAUGGGACAUUGCUUAGCUAAGGAACAUUUAUUUUAUAGCUUUUAGUCAUGUGGGAUUGGUUAUAAUUUAAUUAAGAUUAUUUGGUUUGCUUUAUAUUGUAAAAAGUUUGUAUCAUUAGUUGUCAUAGUGCUCUAAAUUCAGCUGAUUUGGUGAAUAGUAUAACCAUAUUCAAUGUUGCUUACUCUUAUGCCUGGGGUUGAUGAUGAGUUUUUAGUGUACAUUUUACUUUUCCAUUUUUAGAUUUUGCAUUUUUAGUUUCUCUUUCUUCCACUUAAUUUCUACCUACUGUCAUCAUUUAAUUAAUUACUUGCUAUUUUUUCCCUGCUUAAUAUCAACACCUUUUUAGGAAAUGUAAAAUGUUAUUUUGUAGAUUCUUUAUCAAAUCUACUUUAUAGUACAAGUCUGGUGCUUAUGCUAUUAGUUCUUCACGUAGCUAAUGGUAGUAAGGUUUUUUGAACUGAAACUUCUGUGACUAGAAUGUAAGUAAAAUGAAUGUAACCCGAGUGGAAGAAUUUGUUUAGUUAGAUGAAUGAAAAGUUGGUGAUAUUGAUGACUUAUUGCUUCAUUGAAGGAAAAACAGUUGACACAUGUUAUAUAAGGAUAUUUUGCAAUUUGGAUUGGAGUUCGAAUAGAAGUUAGCAGAAUUGGAGGAGUUUAUGUUGGUAUACUUAUAUGGCCUUAGAACUGACCUCUCUAUAGUAUAAAAUUUGAGCUAAUUAUACAAUAAGAAAAAUUGGGUUCUUUUGGGUCUUUUUACUUAAUGAUUUGAUCUUUACAACUCUUAGUCGUUUUUUGCAAAUUGUUUUGACAGAAUGCUUUGUGAAUGCAUUUCCCUUAAUUUGAUGAGCCAACAUAAUUUUGACAUUAUGUGAAUAAGAUCUCAUUAAAUAAAAAUGGCCAUUACGUGUAAUACGACAUAUUUUAUUGUUCUCGUGUUGAUUCUUUUAUAUAUAUAAAAUCAUUGGAAUAGUCAGCUAGAGUUCUUUGUAGAUAUUUUUUCUCCUUUUAAUAGCAUUGAUUGUGGAUACAAUGUAGAUGUGGUUGGAUCAUAGUGUUGAAGAAAUUUCAUAGCUAGCGUUUUAAUAUAGGGUAUAACGCUUACUUUUGUUUUUAAAUUAAGUUAGGAUUCGUGAUGAGUAAAAUGAUUGCAAGCAAUUUUGAUUGGUUUUAUGGCAUAUGAAGUGUUAUUGGAUGGUGAAAAUAGGAGGAUAUAUGAUAGGUACGGUAAAGAGGGACUUAAGCAGCAUUUUGCCAAUGGUGGCGGUACUGGUAGAUUUGGUUGAAUGAAUUUUCAAGAUAUUUUUAGCUUGCAACUUUAUGCCUUCCUUGCAUGAAUUGUACAUUUUCAUUUGUACCUUUCAUUUUUACUUAUUAUCGAACAUUUGUUUUGUUUUCUUAUGUAUGAACCCCCCAUAACUAAAUCCAUUAGAACUUGGAUCUCUAAUUUGCUUGUGUUAUUUUUACUUCAAAUUAGCACUCAAUUUGUACAUUUUAUUUAUUUUGAACAAAGUCGUUACAAAAAUUUGGUUUUAGUAUUUCUAAUUAACAUAUAUAAUGAAAUUGUACAUUUGAACUUCGUUCAAUUUUAUAUCAUCGUCAUUCGGAGAAUGGCAUUCUCCUGGUUAAAACUAUUCCAAGUAAGUAAACAAUUUAAAGGCUUAUACUUUUAUAAAAAAACCUCUUGCCUACAUUUUGCCAUAAUGGUUGCAUUUCAUAUGAACUUCCCCAGGGUAUCCAAAGACUUCAUAUCAGUUCUUUGCUUUUUUCUUCUAUUGUCCCCUCCAAACAAAAAAGUAUAUGAUUGAGAAUACUUUAAAAGAUUUUUUUAAUUAUUUUUGAUUAAUUUUUCAUAAAAUUCUGCAGAUAAAAGUUGCUCAAGUUACUUUUGAAUAUGAAUAACACAUUGCAACUGAAUUUGGGGGACUGGAUUAAUUACUGUCCUAUAAUCCUUUGUGAUAUAUUUGUUCUUACGGUGCAUUUUUUUUAUACUAUCAACUCCUACUACUUUAAAGUAAUUUUAUCGUUUCAUUGACAUGCAAUAUUUGUGAUAACUCAAUUUCUCUUUGCAGAGCUCAUUGAGCUUGACCCUGUUCAUGCAACUGAAUUUCAAGUUCCCAUUGGUAAAACUUUUUUCGUAGUCAUAGCUCACCAAUAUGUUUUUUGACAUAGUUUUCACAUGAUGGAUGAUAUAAUUCUAUGUUGAGAAAAGUGAUGGUGUUGCACAUUAUAUAAUUUUCAUUUAUAUAGUUGUUCAAACUCCUUUUCCUUUUGUUUCCUAUCUGAUGGAAAACUUAUUGUUGGAUUCUAUCAGAUUGUACUAGCGACAAAGCUUGCUACGAAACCUUGAGAGGCCACAAUCAAGACACUUUCAUAUGUUCAAGGAUGGUGUGUUUCAUUCUUACAUGCACGUUGCAUCAAAGAAACAUAUAUUACUGAAGGCAUCGACAAAAUUACUAAAAAAAACUUUGAAACUAUUUCUACAAAUUCUCCUACCUCCUUGGAUGUGCUGAGAGUAGCUAAAUAUUUUACGUUGUACCAUAUGAUUUUCUAUUUAUAUUUAACAUACUGGUGUUUCAAUGGCAUCUGGAUAUGUGACUUAUUAUCCUUUU